GUGUGUGAGUGUGGUGUGC
RNAcentral lists this microRNA (19 nucleotides) under Chiloscyllium plagiosum (whitespotted bambooshark). Its description in RNAcentral is "microRNA PC-3p-1190306_1". The record is from RNAcentral. Lineage: Eukaryota; Metazoa; Chordata; Chondrichthyes; Orectolobiformes; Hemiscylliidae.